RNAcentral lists this transfer RNA (68 nucleotides) under Myotis davidii. It matches the Rfam family "tRNA". Rfam says of the family: Transfer RNA (tRNA) molecules are approximately 80 nucleotides in length. Their secondary structure includes four short double-helical elements and three loops (D, anti-codon, and T loops). Further hydrogen bonds mediate the characteristic L-shaped molecular structure. tRNAs have two regions of fundamental functional importance: the anti-codon, which is responsible for specific mRNA codon recognition, and the 3' end, to which the tRNAs corresponding amino acid is attached (by aminoacyl-tRNA synthetases). tRNAs cope with the degeneracy of the genetic code in two manners: having more than one tRNA (with a specific anti-codon) for a particular amino acid; and 'wobble' base-pairing, i.e. permitting non-standard base-pairing at the 3rd anti-codon position. Lineage: Eukaryota; Metazoa; Chordata; Mammalia; Chiroptera; Vespertilionidae. The record is from Rfam by way of RNAcentral.
GGCUGGGUAGCUCAGUUGGUUAGAGUGUUGUCCUGACAUGCCAAGGUUUCCAGUUCGAUCCCCAGUCA